This 252-nucleotide ribosomal RNA is filed under the name uncultured prokaryote. RNAcentral's name for it is "partial 16S ribosomal RNA". It matches the Rfam family "Bacterial small subunit ribosomal RNA", at positions 524 to 775 of the family's 1533-position model. The record is from RNAcentral.
UACGUAGGGGGCAAGCGUUGUCCGGAUUUAUUGGGCGUAAAGCGCUCGCAGGUGGUUCGUCGCGUCGUGCGUGAAAGACCCCGGCUCAACUGGGGAGGGUCGUGCGAUACGGGCGGACUGGAGGCCAGUAGGGGGAUGCGGAAUUCCGGGUGUAGUGGUGGAAUGCGUAGAGAUCCGGAGGAACACCAGCGGCGAAGGCGGCAUCCUGGACUGGUCCUGACACUCAGGAGCGAAAGCGUGGGGAGCGAUCCG